UGCGUAGGGUGCGAGCGUUAAUCGGAUUUACUGGGCGUAAAGCGUGCGCAGGCGGCCCGUUAAGACAGGUGUGAAAUCCCUGGGCUCAACCUAGGAAUUGCGCUUGUGACUGGCGGGCUCGAGUACGGUAGAGGGGGGUGGAAUUCCUGGUGUAGCAGUGAAAUGCGUAGAGAUCAGGAGGAACACCGAUGGCGAAGGCAGCCCCCUGGGCCUGUACUGACGCUCAUGCACGAAAGCGUGGGGAGCAAACAGG
Molecule: ribosomal RNA, 253 nt
Filed under: uncultured microorganism
Description: partial 16S ribosomal RNA
Rfam family: Bacterial small subunit ribosomal RNA
Source: RNAcentral